AGAACAGAGCACUCUGACCUAUUUCAAAAUGGUUCCUUUUCCCUUCUCCUUGCAGGAAGCAGGAAGGGAUUUUUUUCUCACAUAUUUACUGUGCGAACCUGGCCGAGCUCCUGGAGAUAUAUCUCACAGUAUUGUGGGGAGCCCUCUUAUGACUGCCUCUUCCUGGAGUUUUUAAUUCUCAGAGUUGUAUACCCUGAGCCUUCAGCAACUUGUCGAUUAUAGCUCCAGUUUUUCUAUUCUGUACUUGUUCCAAUGGGAGUUUCUGCUGUUGAGUCUCUGCUUUGUUUGAAAUAAUUUCAAGCCUACAAAUAGUCCUGAGAAUUAUCAAAGAAAUACAAACCAGCCUUUCAGAAUCUGGAUAAACUAUGAAAUCCUGCAUUAUACAGAAUGUCAAACAGACAUAAAAGCCAGCAGAGCAUCAACUGUGGAGCUUAGGAAUCAUCUCAGAAAGAAGUUUACAAUGAAAAUCUUGCUGAGUCCAGAGUCUGAAAGAACUGAAGACUACGGUCGUUUUGACCACAGGAGGAGUCAUUGUCUGAGCCAAAGGACCAUGGGGGCAACUUUGAACCAGGAUAAGUACGAAAGUUGACUAAUACUCAAACUGAUGAGGAGCUCCCUAGCUGCUUUCACCACUGCGGGUACAACAAGAAGUCUGCAACUCAGAAGAGGGCCAUCACCUGACCAUGUCGGCACCCUGAUCUUGGACUUCCCAGCCCCCAGAACACUUCCCAGAGGUGAAAACAUUCUUGCAGUCUUGAUUAAGGAAUGCAGAUCUUUACACAAUGGUUACUUUAAAUGUUUCGACUGCAAGAAACAGAAUUUUCAAACUCAAAAUUGAUUAUGCUAUAGAAAAAAUUUAUCUCAAUGAGAAAUCCAAAAUCAUGCUGAGUGCUAGGAUCUUGGCCUCUGGAUUUGUCUGCCUCAAUAGUUCUCCAGGCCCAUCAACCAGGGGCUGGCCCCGUGGCCGAGUGGUUAAGUUCAUGCGCUCCGCUGCAGGCGGCCCAGUGAUUCGUCGGUUCGAAUCCUGGGCGCGGACAUGGCACUGCUCGUCAGACCACGCUGAGGCAGCGUCCAACAUGCCACAACUAGAGGAACCCACAAUGAAGAAUACACAACUAUGUACCGGGGGGCUUUGGGGAGAAAAAGGAAAAAAUAAAAAAAAAUCUUUAUAAAAAAAAAAAA
This 1182-nucleotide long non-coding RNA is filed under the name Equus caballus (horse). RNAcentral's name for it is "lncRNA (ENSECAG00000059017.1)". Lineage: Eukaryota; Metazoa; Chordata; Mammalia; Perissodactyla; Equidae. The record is from RNAcentral.